AACAACUCACCUGCCGAAUGAAUUAGCCCUGAAAAUGGAUGGCGCUGAAGCGGGCGGCCGACACCGCGCCGUUCGAGCAAAUUGAUGUUUCGGAUGAGUAGGAGGGCGUGGCGGCCGUGUCGAAGCGCGCGUGCAGACGCGUGUGGAACGGCCGCUAGUGCAGAUCUUGGUGGUAGUAGCAAAUAUUCAAGCGAGAUCCUUGAAGGGCGAAGCGGGGAAGGGUUCCACGCGAACAUUGAUUGGGCGUGGGUGAGUCGUUCCUAAGCCGAGUGGCGAUUGCUAAGUAGCGGCGAAAGGGAAGCGGGUUGACAUUCCCGCACACGGAUGUGGAGGCGGCGACGCAUUACUUUGUUGGGGCAAACACGCUGGCGACGGCGCUGGGCAGAGUUGUCUUUUCUGUUUGACCGUUUGCGCGCGCUGUGUGGAAUCCGCUUGUCGGGAGAAACACGCGCGCGCGGGCAGAGCGCCGGGGCUUUUCCGGCGUCCAGCUCGCCGUCGACGGCCCUUGAAACUUUGCCUGCUGAUUUAGAUCCACGCCGUGGCGUACCGAUCACCGCAUCAGGUCCCCGAGGUGAACAGCCUCUGCUCAAUAUGAACAAU
RNAcentral lists this ribosomal RNA (600 nucleotides) under Reticulocaulis mucosissimus. RNAcentral describes it as "eukaryotic LSU rRNA". It matches the Rfam family "Eukaryotic large subunit ribosomal RNA", at positions 1284 to 1899 of the family's 3401-position model. RNAcentral also lists the same sequence under 1 other name. Lineage: Eukaryota; Rhodophyta; Florideophyceae; Bonnemaisoniales; Naccariaceae. The record is from RNAcentral.